Molecule: non-coding RNA, 97 nt
Organism: Hymenopellis radicata
Lineage: Eukaryota; Fungi; Basidiomycota; Agaricomycetes; Agaricales; Physalacriaceae
Source: the annotation of a GenBank genome assembly
UUGGAUAUGGUGUAAUGGCUAACACUAGCGCGUCUCAUGCCUCGAUGAUGUUUUCCUCGCUGCGCGCUGGCUCGGGGUUCGAUUCCCCGUAUCCGAA